This 139-nucleotide ribosomal RNA is filed under the name uncultured eukaryote. Its description in RNAcentral is "partial 18S ribosomal RNA". It matches the Rfam family "Eukaryotic small subunit ribosomal RNA", at positions 1299 to 1458 of the family's 1831-position model. The record is from RNAcentral.
UGGUGGAGUGAUUUGUCUGCUUAAUUGCGUUAACGAACGAGACCUUAACCUACUAAAUAGUUACGGGAAUCUUCGGAUUCUCGGGCAACUUCUUAGAGGGACUUUGGCAUCAAGCCAAAGGAAGUUUGAGGCAAUAACA